Molecule: ribosomal RNA, 253 nt
Filed under: uncultured bacterium
Lineage: Bacteria
Description: partial 16S ribosomal RNA
Rfam family: Bacterial small subunit ribosomal RNA
Source: RNAcentral
GACGUAGGGCGCGAGCGUUGUCCGGAUUUAUUGGGCGUAAAGAGCUCGUAGGCGGCUUGUCGCGUCGUUCGUGAAAACUCACAGCUCAACUGUGAGCUUGCGGUCGAUACGGGCAGGCUAGAGUUCGGUAGGGGAGACUGGAAUUCCUGGUGUAGCGGUGAAAUGCGCAGAUAUCAGGAAGAACACCAAUGGCGAAAGCAGCUCUCUGGGACGGUACUGACGCUGAGACGCGAAAGCGUGGGGAGCGAACAGG